Molecule: ribosomal RNA, 482 nt
Filed under: uncultured bacterium
Lineage: Bacteria
Description: partial 16S ribosomal RNA
Rfam family: Bacterial small subunit ribosomal RNA
Source: RNAcentral
AUUGAACGCUGGCGGCAUGCCUUACACAUGCAAGUCGAACGGUAACAGGUCUUCGGAUGCUGACGAGUGGCGAACGGGGGAGUAAUACAUCGGAACGUGCCCGAUCGUGGGGGAUAACGAGGCGAAAGCUUUUCUAAUACCGCAUACGAUCUACGGAUGAAAGCGGGGGAUCUUCGGACCUCGCGCGGACGGAGCGGCCGAUGGCAGAUUAGGUAGUUGGUGGGAUAAAAGCUUACCAAGCCGACGAUCUGUAGCUGGUCUGAGAGGAUGAUCAGCCACACUGGGACUGAGACACGGCCCAGACUCCUACGGGAGGCAGCAGUGGGGAAUUUUGGACAAUGGGCGAAAGCCUGAUCCAGCCAUGCCGCGUGCAGGAUGAAGGCCUUCGGGUUGUAAACUGCUUUUGUACGGAACGAAAAGCCUCUUUCUAAUAAAGAGGGGUCAUGACGGUACCGUAAGAAUAAGCACCGGCUAACUACGUG